This 339-nucleotide ribosomal RNA is filed under the name uncultured Glomus. Its description in RNAcentral is "SSU rRNA". It matches the Rfam family "Eukaryotic small subunit ribosomal RNA", at positions 569 to 913 of the family's 1831-position model. The record is from RNAcentral. Lineage: Eukaryota; Fungi; Glomeromycota; Glomeromycetes; Glomerales; Glomeraceae.
AGCAGCCGCGGUAAUUCCAGCUCCAAUAGCGUAUAUUAAAGUUGUUGCAGUUAAAAAGCUCGUAGUUGAAUUUCGGGGUCAGUAGGUCGGUCGUGCCACUGGUAUGAACUGGUUUUACUGAUUCCUCCCUCUUGAAGAACUGUAAUGCCAUUAAUUUGGUGUUGCAGGGAAUCAGGACUGUUACUUUGAAAAAUUAGAGUGUUUAAAGCAGGCUUUAGCUUGAAUACAUUAGCAUGGAAUAAUGAAAUAGGACGUUUGAUCCUAUUUUGUUGGUUUCUAGGAUUGACGUAAUGAUUAAUAGGGAUAGUUGGGGGCAUUAGUAUUCAAUUGUCAGAGGUG